AAAAAAAAAAAAAAAAAAAAAAAAAAAAAAAAAAGAUUUUUUUCCUCCUUUUUUUUUU
Molecule: non-coding RNA, 58 nt
Filed under: Nephroselmis pyriformis
Lineage: Eukaryota; Viridiplantae; Chlorophyta; Nephroselmidophyceae; Nephroselmidales; Nephroselmidaceae
Source: RNAcentral